UGGCAGAAAUAUCAAAAUGUUAGUUCUCUUCCAAUGAUAAUGAAAGCAUGCAUCUUUUAUCCUUUGUAUAAAAGAACAUGAAUAAGUACACUACAUUUCUUUGUUCAUUUAAAAAUACAUUUCAUAAAAGAAAAAACAUUUAAUUAUCAAAUGUAAAGAAAUAGUAAAACAUUUUUUUUAAACUAUUGCCCCUUACAAAAACAAUCACUACAGUAGAAUCUUUAUAAAAGUCACUGUUAUGACCAGAGAAUACUGACAUUACAAGACAAAUUGAACUUUAAAUGAGGUUCAAAAUGUAUUGGUAUUGCAAAAGCAGGAUAUUUAGAGCCUGACAUGACAUGUUUUCACUUAAAAAAGAUGAUCUUUGAAGCUGGUUUGACUGUAUCAAUUUAAUAAAUUAAUUUAUUCUCAUGUUGGUCCCUUUAAUCAUUUCCAAAAUACUGAUAAUGUUCUGUUGAAUCAAAAUAUAAAAGUUUGAACAUUUGUCCUUGGUCUAAUUAAUGCCGCUCAAAUGUUUUAACCAUGUGUCACUUAAACUGCGAUCAUACAAUUAUAAGAAUUAACAUUUAAGGGCAUACAAUAUAAUUACAAAUUAGGUAAUGCAGUUGCAACGUAAAUUCUUAUUUUCGUCAAACAGUGACUUAUCAGGAAAAGAUGUAGUUUUUGGCUGAUUUUUAUCAUUCAAACUGAUUUAACUUGAAAACAACUUCAUGGAUCCCUCUUUUUUAAAAUGACAUUUGGUUUGAUUACGUAAGAAGAUUAUGUGUACCAAUUUUCAUGAAAACGUAAAUAGUGCAUUUUUUUUUAAUUUGAUUAAUAUACA
This 823-nucleotide long non-coding RNA is filed under the name Mytilus galloprovincialis (Mediterranean mussel). The record is from RNAcentral. Lineage: Eukaryota; Metazoa; Mollusca; Bivalvia; Mytilida; Mytilidae.